GUCUUGAGGAGAUAAGUAUAAAGAGCUGAGUGAAGUGGAUUCUAGCUCAGAAAGUACAGUAGUAUACUUGACCACAGAGCAAUGAAAAAUACUCGACCAUGUUUUAGCUUAUCCAUGCCAGGAGAUCACUCGACCGCGGUGCUGGCCGCAACAGAAGAAGGGAGGUCGAGUAUCCUUAUAGCAGUACUCGCCGCCACAGAGCUUAUGAGGUCGAGUACCUACCUGCUGGAGCUGAUACAGAACAGGGCGGUUCGUCUAUGGCCUGGGAGCAACCACAGGAAGCCAUUGACGACCAACUUCAUUCAUUCUUCGACUGAGGUAAGUGUCUCACUUCACCAUUGUAUUAUAUCAUCUAUUGU
This 359-nucleotide small RNA is filed under the name Arabidopsis thaliana (thale cress). RNAcentral's name for it is "ATSL273410". The record is from RNAcentral. Lineage: Eukaryota; Viridiplantae; Streptophyta; Magnoliopsida; Brassicales; Brassicaceae.